AUGACAUUCUGGAAAAGGCAAAACUAUGGAGACAUUAAAAAGGACCCCAGCCAGGAUAUUGUGACGUUCUCAGUCACCAUGACUCCUGAGAGCCCUCUCUUCAGUGGUGUAUUUUACAUGGUUCUAAAACACACUUUGAAACUAGCAGAAGGAAAGGGGAAAAAGUUAACGAAACAUAUGGUAAGUAGGAUAUAGAAAAUAAGAUACAAAUAAGUCCUAAACUAACAGUAUUAAUAAUAAUUAUAAAUAACAUGUCACUAGCUAAAUACAAAGGCAGAAAAUAUCUAGGCAGAAACUCUUAGUCUUAAUUCUCAGAUUGUGAGGAAUAUACUUAAAAGUAUAGAGAAAGACUGAAAAGAAACAGACAGAAAAAAGAUACAGCAGGUAAAAUAUGAACCAAAGAAAGAAUAAUGAUAUUGGCUGGGUGCAGUGGUUCACGCCUAUAAUCCCAGCACUUUGGGAGGCCAAGGAAGGUGGAUCACGAGGUCAAGAGAUCGAGACCAUGGUGAAACCCUGUCUCUACUAAAAAAUAAAAAAAAUUAGCUGGUCAUGAUGGCAUGUGCCUGUAGUCCCAACUACUUGGGAGGCUGAGGCAGGAGAAUUGCUUGAACCUGGGAGGCAGAGGUUGCAGUGAGCCGAGAUCGUGCCACUGCACUCCAGCCUGGGGCCUGGCGACACAGAAAGACUCUGUCUCAAAAAAAAAAAAAAAAAAAAAGAGUAGUGAUAUUAACAGCUACCAAAUAUAAUUGAAGGUAAAACCAUCAUACUAUCAAGGAGAGAUAUAGCAUAUGAUAAAGCGGACAAACGUGGGCACGUGCACGCGCGCGUGCACACACACACACACACAUAUAUAACAAUAGUCUAGAAAAAGCUAUAAGCAACAACUGGCAGAACAGUAGGAAGAAACAGCUAACAAUAUUGGUCAGAGAUCUUAAUGAAGCCACUUCUUAGGAAGAGAUAGUUCAAUAGGAAAAGCAAGUGAAGGCACAGAUGAGUAGACUAAUGUAGUUCAUAUCUUAAGAGUGAAGCGUAUCGGGGCC
RNAcentral lists this long non-coding RNA (1040 nucleotides) under Callithrix jacchus (white-tufted-ear marmoset). RNAcentral's name for it is "lncRNA (ENSCJAG00000085966.1)". The record is from RNAcentral. Lineage: Eukaryota; Metazoa; Chordata; Mammalia; Primates; Cebidae.